RNAcentral lists this ribosomal RNA (622 nucleotides) under uncultured bacterium. Its description in RNAcentral is "bacterial SSU rRNA". The stretch from base 1 to 539 matches the Rfam family "Bacterial small subunit ribosomal RNA", at positions 338 to 873 of the family's 1533-position model. The record is from RNAcentral.
CCUACGGGAGGCAGCAGUGAGGAAUAUUGGACAAUGGGCGCAAGCCUGAUCCAGCCAUGCCGCGUGCAGGAAGAAGCAUCUAUGGUGUGUAAACUGCUUUUGUACGGGAAGAAACACUGCUACGUGUAGCAGCUUGACGGUACCGUAAGAAUAAGGAUCGGCUAACUCCGUGCCAGCAGCCGCGGUAAUACGGAGGAUCCAAGCGUUAUCCGGAAUCAUUGGGUUUAAAGGGUCCGUAGGCGGUUUGGUAAGUCAGUGGUGAAAGCCCAUCGCUUAACGAUGGAACGGCCAUUGAUACUGCCAGACUUGAAUUACUAGGAAGUAACUAGAAUAUGUAGUGUAGCGGUGAAAUGCUUAGAUAUUACAUGGAAUACCAAUUGCGAAGGCAGGUUACUACUAGUUUAUUGACGCUGAUGGACGAAAGCGUGGGGAGCGAACAGGAUUAGAUACCCUGGUAGUCCCGACGACCGUAACGAUAGAUACUAGCUGUUCGGGUUACCGUAGUAGUGGUGUAGAGAAGUAGAGUAAGUAGUACCACCGUACGGGAGGUACGGUUCGUCGAGAAGUUAGUAAACGUUACAAAUAAGAAGUUAGACGGCGUUGAGACGUUAGCCGACGGACG